This 85-nucleotide transfer RNA is filed under the name Felis catus (domestic cat). It matches the Rfam family "tRNA". Rfam says of the family: Transfer RNA (tRNA) molecules are approximately 80 nucleotides in length. Their secondary structure includes four short double-helical elements and three loops (D, anti-codon, and T loops). RNAcentral also lists the same sequence under 5 other names. The record is from Rfam by way of RNAcentral. Lineage: Eukaryota; Metazoa; Chordata; Mammalia; Carnivora; Felidae.
GCCUGGGUGGCUUAGUUGGUUAAGCAUCUGACUUCAGCUCAGGUCAUGAUCUCACAGUUUGUGGGUUUGAGCCCCACAUCAGGCU